This 252-nucleotide ribosomal RNA is filed under the name uncultured bacterium. RNAcentral describes it as "partial 16S ribosomal RNA". It matches the Rfam family "Bacterial small subunit ribosomal RNA", at positions 524 to 776 of the family's 1533-position model. The record is from RNAcentral.
UACGUAGGGAGCAAGCGUUGUCCGGAAUCAUUGGGCGUAAAGCGCGCGUAGGUGGUCCCGUAAGUCCGCUGUGAAAGUCAAAGGCUCAACCUUUGAAAGCCGGUGGAUACUGUGGGACUAGAGUACGGAAGAGGCGAGUGGAAUCUCGGUGUAGCGGUGAAAUGCGUAGAUAUCGAGAGGAACACCUGCGGCGAAGGCGGGUUGCUGGGCUGAUACUGACGCUGAGGCGCGAAAGCCAGGGGAGCGAACGGG